GUUUUGUUCACAUUCUUUGGAAUCAGAAGUGGAAUUCAAGCAACACUGAUUCUUCUCCUGAUGCUGUCCUGAACCAACACAUUGGGAUCUUCAAGGGUCCUUUGAGUUCAGUUGUCUUCUCAGAGAUGCCAGGAAGCCUCAGGUGUAUGCAUGUCUGUUCGUAUGUUGUCUACAUAAUACCAAGUUGACUUCGUUUGUUCGUUCGUGUGUUUUUGUUGAGCUACCGGGCCUGGCCCCACAUUGACUUUUAAAUAAAUAGCAUUGAGUCAUGGAUCCAUAUUUCUCAUUUAAAAAGAAGGCUCUUGAUCCUUCUACCAAGUGAACCGCCCAACUGGUCACUGAUAUCAAGCUCAAGUUAAUCAAACUACAGCCACCAGGACAAGAAGAAGACAACAUCUGGGGCAACCUAACUGAGUGUUGGAUAUGUCACCUUUCCCCCUGCCGAAGUC
RNAcentral lists this long non-coding RNA (449 nucleotides) under Homo sapiens (human). Its description in RNAcentral is "non-protein coding lnc-C6orf201-9:2". The record is from RNAcentral. Lineage: Eukaryota; Metazoa; Chordata; Mammalia; Primates; Hominidae.